RNAcentral lists this ribosomal RNA (720 nucleotides) under Bacillus pumilus. Its description in RNAcentral is "bacterial SSU rRNA". It matches the Rfam family "Bacterial small subunit ribosomal RNA", at positions 64 to 767 of the family's 1533-position model. RNAcentral also lists the same sequence under 1 other name. The record is from RNAcentral. Lineage: Bacteria; Bacillati; Bacillota; Bacilli; Caryophanales; Bacillaceae.
GAGCGGACAGAAGGGAGCUUGCUCCCGGAUGUUAGCGGCGGACGGGUGAGUAACACGUGGGUAACCUGCCUGUAAGACUGGGAUAACUCCGGGAAACCGGAGCUAAUACCGGAUAGUUCCUUGAACCGCAUGGUUCAAGGAUGAAAGACGGUUUCGGCUGUCACUUACAGAUGGACCCGCGGCGCAUUAGCUAGUUGGUGGGGUAAUGGCUCACCAAGGCGACGAUGCGUAGCCGACCUGAGAGGGUGAUCGGCCACACUGGGACUGAGACACGGCCCAGACUCCUACGGGAGGCAGCAGUAGGGAAUCUUCCGCAAUGGACGAAAGUCUGACGGAGCAACGCCGCGUGAGUGAUGAAGGUUUUCGGAUCGUAAAGCUCUGUUGUUAGGGAAGAACAAGUGCGAGAGUAACUGCUCGCACCUUGACGGUACCUAACCAGAAAGCCACGGCUAACUACGUGCCAGCAGCCGCGGUAAUACGUAGGUGGCAAGCGUUGUCCGGAAUUAUUGGGCGUAAAGGGCUCGCAGGCGGUUUCUUAAGUCUGAUGUGAAAGCCCCCGGCUCAACCGGGGAGGGUCAUUGGAAACUGGGAAACUUGAGUGCAGAAGAGGAGAGUGGAAUUCCACGUGUAGCGGUGAAAUGCGUAGAGAUGUGGAGGAACACCAGUGGCGAAGGCGACUCUCUGGUCUGUAACUGACGCUGAGGAGCGAAAGCGUGGGGA